AUUCCCCCCACUAAGAGCUUAACAGCCAACAGACUUUGGAGCAGCCACCGGUCUUAAAAAGCACUUCCCUCUCUUAUGGUAUCACAGAAAUGUGCUUUGCCCACAGUAUUAGUGGCAGGCUCUGACUGACAUGGGAGGAAAAAAAACACCACCACAACGUAUUGGCAAUGCCUUUUACACCACCAGAAGCAUAAAUGCAAAGGAGGACAAAUACAUGCAAAGUAUGCCAGGGAAGGAAACUGACAAAGCAGCAAAGGCAAAUUUUUUUCAAACUGUCUUGAAAUAUAACUGUUGGAUAAGUCUUGGAAAAAGGGCUUUAAUAAAUUUUACUGUAAGCUUCUACAAAAAAA
Molecule: long non-coding RNA, 350 nt
Organism: Oxyura jamaicensis (ruddy duck)
Lineage: Eukaryota; Metazoa; Chordata; Aves; Anseriformes; Anatidae
Exons: 2
Source: RefSeq, a predicted model, not a curated record